RNAcentral lists this ribosomal RNA (253 nucleotides) under uncultured bacterium. RNAcentral's name for it is "partial 16S ribosomal RNA". It matches the Rfam family "Bacterial small subunit ribosomal RNA", at positions 524 to 776 of the family's 1533-position model. The record is from RNAcentral.
UACGGAGGGAGCUAGCGUUGUUCGGAAUUACUGGGCGUAAAGCGCACGUAGGCGGCUUUGUAAGUCAGAGGUGAAAGCCUGGAGCUCAACUCCAGAACUGCCUUUGAGACUGCAUCGCUUGAAUCCAGGAGAGGUGAGUGGAAUUCAGAGUGUAGAGGUGAAAUUCGUAGAUAUUCGGAAGAACACCAGUGGCGAAGGCGGCUCACUGGACUGGUAUUGACGCUGAGGUGCGAAAGCGUGGGGAGCAAACAGG